Molecule: ribosomal RNA, 253 nt
Filed under: uncultured bacterium
Lineage: Bacteria
Description: partial 16S ribosomal RNA
Rfam family: Bacterial small subunit ribosomal RNA
Source: RNAcentral
UACGGAGGAUGCAAGCGUUAUCCGGAAUGAUUGGGCGUAAAGCGUCCGCAGGUGGCUGUGUAAGUCUGCUGUCAAAGAGCGAAGCUCAACUUCGUAAAGGCAGUGGAAACUACACGGCUAGAGUGCGUUCGGGGCAGAGGGAAUUCCUGGUGUAGCGGUGAAAUGCGUAGAGAUCCGGAGGAAUACCAGUGGCGAAGGCGGCACGCUGGGCCAUAACUGACGCUAAGACUCGAAAGCAUGGGUAGCGAACGGG